Molecule: long non-coding RNA, 2189 nt
Organism: Cucumis sativus (cucumber)
Lineage: Eukaryota; Viridiplantae; Streptophyta; Magnoliopsida; Cucurbitales; Cucurbitaceae
Exons: 4
Source: RefSeq, a predicted model, not a curated record
AAGAUUGUUAUAUUGAUUUUGUAAGCAUUUGGUGUGUAUAUGCAUGUCUGGAUUUUUUUUUUCUGGACGUUAACUCAUUUAGUCCUUUAGUUUUGGACGUAUCUGAUCUACUUUACAUAUUUGUAAAUAUGUUUUUAUUGAUGGUUGGUCCUAUAGUGAUUGCUUAAUGGUUUGAAAAUGGUCCUAUGUUUUCAAUUAUUUUGUUUUCCAAUAAUAACAUACAAUCUGUUUAUGGACUUUGGUUGUUUUUAUUGAAAGUGAUAAUGUUUGAAGACAACCAAUGAAGUAAUAAGAGUAUCUUGUAGAAUACAAGAAGCAUGAAUUUUUUUUGUGUGUUGAUGACAUUCAAGUUCUGAUGACUUAAUGUUUACGUGUAGAUUCAGUCGAAGUUGGGUUACAGUACAUUGAGAAGUUCAAGUCUUGAAGAAUUUCAUCUCAAUUUUUUCUUAGCCACUCAAAAGGUUAGCAUGGUGAUGUUAAUAUUCUCUUGUUAGAGCUCUCUAUCGAUGUUUCUGUCACUCUCAAUCGAUAGAUUAAUGAUCAAUGAUGCCACUAGUUUAAGUGGCAUUUUGGAAAAACAUGCUAAGUUUUUUUUUUUUAAUAAGAUUCUUUGUAAAUAUUAAAUAUUAGGGUGGGUGUGGAAAUGGAUGGAGAGAUUGGAGAAUGAAAUCUGUCCUUUUUUUUUUUUUUUUUGGAGAGAGGGGAUUUUCAAGAUGAGCGUAUAUCAAAAGACGAAUGAGAUAUUUAAAAAAAGAGUUGUAAACUCUUUAGGAUUGUAUGAAGGAAAGAAACAGAUAAACGAUAUAUUAUUAUUUAUGAAUGUAUUGAAAUGCUAAUGAUGUUGUGUGAUUGUGUUUGUCCCGAUAUAGGAUGUUUGAGUCACACAACAAUCCUUGAAUUAUGUUAUUCAAUACUUCUUCUGUGCGUAUCAUUAAUUUUUAAGAUUAUAUGACAACAAGUAUUCUUUAUUAUUUUCGUAAAAAUAUCAUUACCUAUUCAUUGAUUUCUGAAUUUUUUAUAGUUAAUUUGCAUUAUUUAGUAGAUUUAUGGCAAGGAAUUGGAAAAGGUUUUCUUUCACUUGAUUUGUUCCUUGAAUGUUGUUUUGAGUGAGUGGGUAAAUUACAAAUAUAUAGACUUAGUGGGGUGGAGUAGAGAAAGGGGAGAGUGAAUUUGUCUUUUAUUUAUAUUAUUUUAAUGUAGAUACGGUUCAUUAAUGCUAACUUGUUUGUAGUUUGUUACUCCUUUGAACUAAUUGAUUUCAUUGGUUCAAGGAAGUAGAUUUUCAAAUUGAAAAUUGUGGGUUCCAAUCUACAUAAGUAAUUUCCAUGUUUGCACAGUAGGAUAAUUAUUGGUGUUCAUUGGAUUAUAAGAUAUGCUAUUAUUCAGGAUCUAGUUUCAGAUUCUUAUUUUUUUUAGGAUCUAGUUGUGGGUAUUGAUGUGCUUAAUCUUCAUGAGAUUUUGUUUACUGCAUGUUCCUAACUUCAUGUUAUGUUACUCUUUGUCCAAAAUUCUAUCUACUUUGUUGAUGUUAGUUCUUUUCUCCUAUUUGCAGUGGGGAAUCUAUGUUACUAGUUUGUGAGAAGAGAUUGUUGCUUCUUUUGAGAAAGUUAAUUUCAAAAGAAUACAAUCUUUUGCUUCCUCCUUAAAGAGCUCAAUGGAAUUUUCUUUUGUUUCCAAAUUUAUUUUAUAUUUCUCAGCCCUUGGGUUAAUAAUUCUAAAAUUCUGAUUGAUACUGAAGAGUUGAAUAGGGAGCUCAAUGGAAUUUAACCCCUUUGAUGCUAUUAUUUGCUUUAUAUAUGUGUUUUUCUGGAUGGAACGCAUUGGGUCAUGGGAGAACAACAAGAAAGCAGCUCUUGAGGCUGAACUAAAACAAAUUGAGACUAUCGGUUCCAAUUUGUAGGAACGGUGUAUUUAGGUACUUUAGAACCUCAACUACCUUCAAGUAGAUUGUACAUUGUAAGGAAAUCAUAGUAAGCCUUCAGAUGUAUGAUCAUAGAGAAUUGGCAAGCAUCCAAUAGAAAUGGAGCACGUCAGAUAAUAAAGGUAUAUAUCUUAUGAAGGCUAGCAACUCAAGAGGAUACCUCUAACAUAUAAAGAAGAUAAGAACAAUCUAACGAUAUAGUUAACAGGUUCAACUGGAGUCGACAACUUCAUGAGUUUACUUUCAAAGAACAUUUUCAGAGACAAAC